This 460-nucleotide ribosomal RNA is filed under the name uncultured bacterium. Its description in RNAcentral is "partial 16S ribosomal RNA". It matches the Rfam family "Bacterial small subunit ribosomal RNA", at positions 338 to 795 of the family's 1533-position model. The record is from RNAcentral.
CCUACGGGUGGCAGCAGUGAGGAAUAUUGGUCAAUGGCCGGAAGGCUGAACCAGCCAUGCCGCGUGAGGGUCAGUGCCCGAUGGGCGUUAAACUUCUUUUGUGCGGGAGCAAUAAUGGUCACGUGUGGCCAGACGAGAGUACCGUACGAAUAAGCAUCGGCUAACUCGGUGCCAGCAGCCGCGGUAAUACGGGGGAUGCAAGCGUUAUACGGAUGUAGUGGGUUUAAAGGGUGCGUAUGCUGUGAGGUAAGUCAGCAGUGAAAUGCCCACGCUGCACGGGGUGAAGUGCUAUUGAUACUGCCUUGCUGGCAUGCGGAUGCUGUGGGAGGAAUGUGUGGUGUAGCGGUGAAAUGCAGAGAUAUCACACAGAACACCGAUUGCGAAGGCAUCUCACGAAUCCGCGAUUGACGCUGAUGCACGAAAGCGUGGGUAUCAAACAGGAUUAGAUACCCCUGUAGUC